UACGGAGGAUCCAAGCGUUAUCCGGAUUUAUUGGGUUUAAAGGGUGCGUAGGUGGAUUGAUAAGUCAGCGGUGAAAGUUUGCAGCUUAACUGUAAAAUUGCCGUUGAAACUGUCAGUCUUGAGUGCAAAUGAGGUAGGCGGAAUGUGUUGUGUAGCGGUGAAAUGCUUAGAUAUAACACAGAACUCCGAUUGCGAAGGCAGCUUACUGGGAUGCAACUGACACUGAGGCACGAAAGCGUGGGGAUCAAACAGG
Molecule: ribosomal RNA, 253 nt
Filed under: uncultured bacterium
Lineage: Bacteria
Also listed under: 1 other name
Description: partial 16S ribosomal RNA
Rfam family: Bacterial small subunit ribosomal RNA
Source: RNAcentral